RNAcentral lists this long non-coding RNA (1216 nucleotides) under Piliocolobus tephrosceles (Ugandan red Colobus). RNAcentral's name for it is "lncRNA (ENSPTEG00000015175.1)". The record is from RNAcentral. Lineage: Eukaryota; Metazoa; Chordata; Mammalia; Primates; Cercopithecidae.
AUUUUAUAAAUUAAAUAAACCAAAACAUGAUUUGAUUAAAAAGUGUAGUUUAACUGAGGGCACAGUUCAUGAAAAAACUAGAAGUUAUGAUACCAAUAUAUAUAAUAAAGAAGAUUAUAAACAAGUAAUAAAAAAUGUCAUUGGUAGAACGAGACACUAUGUUAAUGAUAAUAAAACAAAGAUGAAACAUCCGGUUGUAAAUGCAAAGGAAAGUGAGGUACAUAGGGAAUGGAGCAAACCUGGUAGGACAAAACAGAUGAAAAUGGAAGUUAAUCGGGAAAAAGAUAAUGUACAAAACGGUGAAGUAAAACAAGAAAUAAAAACAGAAAAAAAAAAACAGAAAGCAAAAAAUUCCCAUUUUAAUGAAACAAAAGAAGAAAAAAAUAUAAAAUUUGAAGAAAUAGAAGAAAAAAAAAGAGAACUAGGAAAAAAAAAAAAUAGGGAUAAAAUGAAUGCGAACAAACGCGAUAAAAUAACUAAAAAUGUAAAUGAGUAUAAAAAAGCUGUUACAAUCAAAAAUAAAGAACAAAUAUAUAAUAGACAUAUGAAAAAUUUGGAUAAAACAAAUAAAAUAUAUCAUAAAAAAUCAAACAGUGAUAGCAAUUUUUAUAUGUUUUCAGAUAAUUUUAAUACAUAUAAAAUUGUUUCUCCUAUCAGACAUAAUUCUUCAUUAGAAAUAUUAAAAAAAGAUAUAAAAAAAUUUAUUAAUAAUGAUACAGACGAAAAUGAAAAUAACAAUAUGCAAAAUAAAGAAAGUGAUAUAUCAAAUAUACACAAUGAGAAUUUCAAAAAUAUUAUUGAUAUAAAUGUAAAUAGUAACACCAUCAAUUUUUUAAAAAAUAAGGAAAAUUCAUCAUAUUCAAUAGGAAAAAAUAUAGCUGAUAGUGAAAUAAAUUAUGUCCCAUCAAAUAUAUCAGUAAACAUAAAAGAAAAAAAAAAAAUUAAAAAAGAUCAAAAUAAUAAUCUUCAAAUUGGCACACGUACAAUUAAAAUAGAUGAUGAUAUAAAAAAUGAUAAAACGGGUAGUAAAAGUAUUAAAAGCAAUUUUUAUCUUAAUAAAUCAAUAAGUGAUAGUUAUAAUGAGUAUGAUUUAUCGAAUACUCUAAACAGUGGAAAAAAGCAAAUUAUUACCACAACUACAAGUGGAAAAAAUGAGAGUAGUUUUUAUGUAUCAGACAUGGAAAAUUUUACAACGAAGGAAGUAGAAGAAGAAAAA